RNAcentral lists this ribosomal RNA (210 nucleotides) under Paecilomyces sp. RNAcentral describes it as "partial large subunit ribosomal RNA". The record is from RNAcentral. Lineage: Eukaryota; Fungi; Ascomycota; Eurotiomycetes; Eurotiales; Thermoascaceae.
AAGCGCUCAUGACCAGACUUGGGCCCGGUGAAUCACCCAGCGUUCUCGCUGGGGCACUUUGCCGGGCUCAGGCCAGCAUCAGUUCGCGCCGGGGGACAAAGACUUCGGGAAUGUGGCUCCUCCGGGAGUGUUAUAGCCCGUUGUGCAAUACCCUGGGGCGGACUGAGGUUCGCGCAUCUGCAAGGAUGCUGGCGUAAUGGUCAUCAGCGA